GUGGCGAAGAUCUCAACACCCGGUGUGACGGAGUAGGGGGCGGUCCUUCUGGAGCCUAGGGUGUGGCGUUGUGGCGUCAGGCAUCGUCGAUGAGCACGUGGCGUAUGUGGCGGCAGUGGAGACCUCACCCGGUGAGGGUGCUGAAGCUUGAGCUGCGAUUGUCCGGAUAGGAGAGGACUUGGGCGUCGUGCGGGCGAGUAGGCAACCUUCGAGUCGUGCGCUUGCGGCGAUUCUGUGAUACAAGGAGUGGGGGCAGUGGGUUAUCACAAGUAGGGGAUUAGCGCUCAGCACAGGGGAUUAGCAUGCAGUGUUUUUUUUUAUCGAACGGUGGCUAUCUAGGGAUGGGAUUAGCUAUCAAGGCAGGAUAUUAACGCACAAGGGGGG
RNAcentral lists this long non-coding RNA (384 nucleotides) under Sorghum bicolor (sorghum). RNAcentral's name for it is "long non-coding RNA (SBIC_LNC014748)". The record is from RNAcentral. Lineage: Eukaryota; Viridiplantae; Streptophyta; Magnoliopsida; Poales; Poaceae.